Molecule: unclassified non-coding RNA, 278 nt
Filed under: Hevea brasiliensis (rubber tree)
Lineage: Eukaryota; Viridiplantae; Streptophyta; Magnoliopsida; Malpighiales; Euphorbiaceae
Source: RNAcentral
CUGAAUCUGAAGGACAUUUUUCUGUGCUAAAUGAGGCAUGUUCAAUGUUUUCACAUACCAAUCCAUUGCAUUUCGAUAUAUUCCAGAGUGUUGCACGAUUUGAAGCUGAAGUUGUUGCAAUGACAGCUUCAAUACUUGGCAGUAAAAAAAAGGCUUCUGGAGGAGAAAUAUGUGGAAACAUGACAUCAGGAGGAACUGAAAGUAUAUUAUUGGCUGUCAAAUCAUCUCGUGACUAUAUGAAGGCAAAGAAGGGAAUUACAAGGCCUGAAAUGAUCAUA